AGCGUAUAUUAAAGUUGUUGCAGUUAAAACGUUCGUAGUUGAAUUUGUGUUCCACACGGGCAGUACACCUAAAUCUUGGGUUUGUACAUUGCCUUAAAAUUAAAAAUGUGUGUGAACGUAUUACCGGCUGAAUUUAUAUUUUUAAUAUGAAUUCACAUAUUAUAUGUCCUACUUCAGUGCUCUUAAUCGAGUGCUGUUGUGGGCCGGUACAAUUACUUUGAACAAAUUAGAGUGCUUAAAGCAGGCUUUUAAUGCCUGAAUAUUUGUGCAUGGAAUAAUGGAAGAGGACAUCUGUUCUAUUUUCUAUUGGUUUUUAGAUCAAGAUGUAAUGAUUAAUAGAAGCAGUUGGGGGCAUUAGUAUUACGACGCGAGAGGUGAAAUUCUUGGACCGUCGUAAGACUGACUAAAGCGAAAGCAUUUGCCAAAUAUGUUUUCAUUAAUCAAGAACGAAAGUUAGAGGUUCGAAGGCGAUCAGAUACCGCCCUAGUUCUAACCAUAAACGAUGUCAGCUAGCAAUUGAAUGUAGCUACUACUAUGGCUCUUUCAGACGCUUCUCGGGAAACCGAAGCUUUUGGGCUCCGGGGGAAGUAUGGUUGCAAAGCUGAAACUUUUGACGGAAGGGCACCACCAGGAGUGGAGCCUGCGGCUUAAUUUGACUCAACACGGGAAAACUUACCAGGUCCGAACAUAAAUAAGUAAGACAGAUUGAUAGCUCUUUCUCGAAUCUAUGGGUGGUGGUGCAUGGCCGUUCUUAGUUCGUGGAGUGAUUUGUCUGGUUAAUUCCGAUAACGAACGAGACUCAAAUAUAUUAAAUAGAUGCAUUCAGGAUUAUGGUGUUGAAGCUUAUAUGCUCGCCUGUUUUCGUUCCUCACGGUGCGUUUGCAGUUGUGUAUGUAUGUAAGUGGAGCCAUACCUGUUUGUUUGUCUAAUUAAAAAUAGACACUAGCUUCUUAAAUGGACAAAUUG
This 966-nucleotide ribosomal RNA is filed under the name uncultured eukaryote. Its description in RNAcentral is "SSU rRNA". It matches the Rfam family "Eukaryotic small subunit ribosomal RNA", at positions 596 to 1426 of the family's 1831-position model. The record is from RNAcentral.